Molecule: ribosomal RNA, 312 nt
Filed under: uncultured bacterium
Lineage: Bacteria
Description: bacterial SSU rRNA
Rfam family: Bacterial small subunit ribosomal RNA
Source: RNAcentral
GAUAAACGCUGACAGAAUGCUUAACACAUGCAAGUCGAUGAUGGGAAGCUAAGCCUAGCUUAGAAGAAGUCAUGGCGGACGGGUGAGUAACGUGUAAAGAACUUGCCCUCUAGACUGGGAUAACAGAUAGAAAUGUCUGAUAAUACCGGAUAUUAUUGUUACAUGGCAUCAUGUAGGAAUGAAAGGAUAAGAUUGCUAGAGGAGAGCUUUGCAUCCUAUUAGCUAGUUGGUAAGGUAGAGGCUUACCAAGGCGAUGAUAGGUAGCCGGCCUGAGAGGGUGGACGGCCACAAGGGGACUGAGAUACGGCCCUU